Long non-coding RNA from Sycon ciliatum, 1289 nucleotides. RefSeq lists it as uncharacterized. NCBI's taxonomy places the organism in Eukaryota, Metazoa, Porifera, Calcarea, Leucosolenida, Sycettidae. The record is from RefSeq and is a predicted model, not a curated record. The transcript has 2 exons.
UGACCCGAAUCUUUAUGCAAAAUGAAGAUGACGACGCCGCUUUUUUCGACUUUUUCUGUGACCAAUUUUUAGCAGAAUCACCAUUUUGAUCGUCUUCGAUUUGGCAUGGAAGACUUUCAUGAAUGCUAUUGUAACUUGGCCUGCUGAGGGCUAGGAUAGUCCCUAAACAAAAUCUGGAAGCCGUUCCGCCAGAGAUUUGUCUGUCAUGUUGCAGCAGAGCCACUUUUCUCAAUUUUGCGUCGUCCAGAAUUUAUGAUUUUUGGAUGCUGAAAUACUUGAUGGCGUGAGAACCAAAAAAGAACUACCGGACACCGUCCAGACCUCAGGAGUCAGGAUUAUGCCGUCUGCUGAACAUUGUCGCAUGCGUUCCUAUAGAGCAUGCUGGCUGCUCUCCUGUUUUCCUUCCUGAUUAUGGACCUCAAGUGUGGACCCAACUGGUCAAAGAAAUGAAGGAACAAUCGUCAUGGUGUACUCUCAGGCCAAGGAUAUGCCUUGUGAAACGUGUCAUAUGCAGUUACUAGAGUUGUCUCGUUCUUUGCAAGCUCUUCGGUCACAGGCAGUACUGUCACAUCCAAUGCACAGCUGAACUGGUUAAGAGUACGUGCACACCAUUAUGUGCUUUGCGGUGGAAUGUGGUCCACCGUUUCGAACACAGUAUUCGCUGACCAUAUACGGCUCCUUUGUAGUGGAUCGUGUGAGUUUGGUCUGGUGGGAUUCGUAGCCAUGUUUAAUGGAACAUACUUCGAAGUAGAUACUCUCCUCUUUAGUGUAUGUGGCAUAUACAAGCCACUGGAGACAUAUUUCACACAGUGUCUCUGUUUUGGUUGAGGUUUUCCCAAUCAUAUUCGUUGCAUAUAUGGGUAUCCAAGUACCUAUAGAGUAUCAUGGUCACAGUCACUACAUACAGAUCCAUGUGGCUCUUGAAUAUGGACAACAGUCUUCUGUUUGAUGGCCAAGCCUGGUCCAAUUUCUCUGUUCUUCCUUUCGGUUAGCUUUCGCCUCUGACCAUCGCUAACCAUCUCAUUGUUGCGUCGUCCAUGACGUGGCUGGCUGGCAUCGGAGUUGGGCACUGCCCUGUCAUCCACUGGCAUAGUGUUGAACCUAACUGACUUGUAUGUCACAUACUAGAUGGAAUUUUGUUCAGUUUUCAGUCUUUUACCAUUCUUAGACACUUUCUUCACCAUACACUGUGUUUCUUUGGCCGUAAAAGGGGCAGUCUCUACUAGUAUUGUAUUCCGAGUUUCCUGAUUUUCAUGGAGAUAGAAAAGAAGUAAUUCUUGUGAAAUGAG